RNAcentral lists this unclassified non-coding RNA (202 nucleotides) under Hevea brasiliensis (rubber tree). The record is from RNAcentral. Lineage: Eukaryota; Viridiplantae; Streptophyta; Magnoliopsida; Malpighiales; Euphorbiaceae.
AGGUUUUGUGCUCUGUAAAUUAAAUCAAUGCGACAGGCAUAAUCCCGUUCAGUAAGAUCAGUUUGCUUAGUUUUUUCCAGCCACUCAGAGAACUGUAAUGCCUUCCAAUACAUUCGUCUCUUCUUCAAACUAACUAUGAUCAUUGAAAUCCCAUUUUGGCUCAAUUUAUUGCCUUCUUCAGCCCACUUCUUAAGAAUAUCAG